Molecule: transfer RNA, 76 nt
Filed under: Chloroflexota bacterium
Lineage: Bacteria; Bacillati; Chloroflexota
Also listed under: 2 other names
Description: Chloroflexi bacterium (rhizosphere metagenome) tRNA-Phe
Rfam family: tRNA
About the family: Transfer RNA (tRNA) molecules are approximately 80 nucleotides in length. Their secondary structure includes four short double-helical elements and three loops (D, anti-codon, and T loops).
Source: RNAcentral
GCCAAGGUAGCUCAGUUGGUAGAGCACACGCCUGAAAAGUGUGGGGUCACCAGUUCGAUCCUGGUCCUUGGCACCA